Molecule: ribosomal RNA, 371 nt
Filed under: uncultured bacterium
Lineage: Bacteria
Description: bacterial SSU rRNA
Rfam family: Bacterial small subunit ribosomal RNA
Source: RNAcentral
AACGAACGCUGGCGGCGUGGCUAAGGCAUGCAAGUCGAACGGAUCUAUCCAACGGGUAACUGAAGGGUAGAUUAGUGGCGAACGGGUGAGGAAUACAUGGACAACGUACCCUGGACACGGGGAUAGCGGCGGGCCGCAAGGCUCUUUAGCGAAAGUGCCGGUAAUACCCGAUGAUCCCGCAUGGUCGCAUGAUCGUGUGGGCAAAGCUCCGACGGUCUGGGAUCGGUUCAUGCCCUAUCAGCUAGUUGGCGAGGUAACGGCUCACCAAGGCGGCGACGGGUACCGGGCGUGAGAGCGUGACCCGGCACAUCGGAACUGAGAUACGGUCCGGACACCUACGGGUGGCUGCAGCAACGAAUAUUCCGCAAUGG